RNAcentral lists this ribosomal RNA (257 nucleotides) under uncultured prokaryote. RNAcentral describes it as "partial 16S ribosomal RNA". It matches the Rfam family "Bacterial small subunit ribosomal RNA", at positions 524 to 780 of the family's 1533-position model. The record is from RNAcentral.
UACGGAGGGUGCAAGCGUUAUCCGGAAUCACUGGGUUUAAAGGGUGCGUAGGCGGUUAUGUAAGUCAGGGGUGAAAGGUCACAGCUUAACUGUGAGAUUGCCUUUGAAACUGUGUAACUUGAAUCAGAUAGAGGUUAGUGGAAUGCGACAUGUGGCGGUGAAAUGCAUAGAUAUGUCGUGGAAUACCGAUUGCGAAGGCAGCUAACUGGGUCUUGAUUGACGCUGAGGCACGAAAGCGUGGGGAGCGAACAGGAUUA